AAUACCGUAUACGCCCUUUGGGGGAAAGAUUUUAUCGGAGAAGGAUCGGCCCGCGUUGGAUUAGGUAGUUGGUGGGGUAACGGCCCUACCAAGCCGACGAUCCCAUAGCUGGUUUGAGAGGAUGAUCAGCCACACUGGGACUGAGACACGGCCCAGACUCCUACGGGAGGCAGCAGUGGGGAAUCUUGGACAAUGGGGGAAACCCUGAUCCAGCCAUGCCGCGUGAGCGAUGAAGGCCUUAGGGUUGUAAAGCUCUUUCAGUGGGGAAGAUAAUGACGGUACCCACAGAAGAAGCCCCGGCUAACUCCGUG
Molecule: ribosomal RNA, 311 nt
Filed under: uncultured bacterium
Lineage: Bacteria
Description: bacterial SSU rRNA
Rfam family: Bacterial small subunit ribosomal RNA
Source: RNAcentral